GGGGAAUAUUGCACAAUGGGCGCAAGCCUGAUGCAGCGACGCCGCGUGAGGGAUGACGGCCUUCGGGUUGUAAACCUCUUUCAGCACAGACGAAGCGCAAGUGACGGUAUGUGCAGAAGAAGGACCGGCCAACUACGUGCCAGCAGCCGCGGUAAUACGUAGGGUCCGAGCGUUGUCCGGAAUUACUGGGCGUAAAGAGCUCGUAGGUGGUUUGUCGCGUUGUCCGUGAAAACUCACAGCUCAACUGUGGGCGUGCGGGCGAUACGGGCAGACUGGAGUACUGCAGGGGAGACUGGAAUUCCUGGUGUAGCGGUGGAAUGCGCAGAUAUCAGGAGGAACACCGGUGGCGAAGGCGGGUCUCUGGGCAGUAACUGACGCUGAGGAGCGAAAGCGUGGGGAGCGAAC
RNAcentral lists this ribosomal RNA (405 nucleotides) under uncultured bacterium. RNAcentral's name for it is "bacterial SSU rRNA". It matches the Rfam family "Bacterial small subunit ribosomal RNA", at positions 356 to 773 of the family's 1533-position model. The record is from RNAcentral.